CCUACGGGGGGCAGCAGUGGGGAAUAUUGGACAAUGGGGGCAACCCUGAUCCAGCCAUGCCGCGUGUGUGAAGAAGGCCCUCGGGUUGUAAAGCACUUUCAGUGAGGAAGAACGCCUGGUGGUUAAUACCCAUCAGGAAAGACAUCACUCACAGAAGAAGCACCGGCUAACUCCGUGCCAGCAGCCGCGGUAAUACGGAGGGUGCGAGCGUGAAUCGGAAUUACUGGGCGUAAAGCGCGCGUAGGUGGCUUGAUAAGCCGGUUGUGAAAGCCCCGGGCUCAACCUGGGAACGGCAUCCGGAACUGUCAAGCUAGAGUGCAGGAGAGGAAGGUAGAAUUCCCGGUGUAGCGGUGAAAUGCGUAGAGAUCGGGAGGAAUACCAGUGGCGAAGGCGGCCUUCUGGACUGACACUGACACUGAGGUGCGAAAGCGUGGGUAGCAAACAGGAUUAGAUACCCCAGUAGUC
Molecule: ribosomal RNA, 465 nt
Filed under: Vreelandella stevensii
Lineage: Bacteria; Pseudomonadati; Pseudomonadota; Gammaproteobacteria; Oceanospirillales; Halomonadaceae
Description: partial 16S ribosomal RNA
Rfam family: Bacterial small subunit ribosomal RNA
Source: RNAcentral